CCCUAUGUGGCGUGGGGGCUGGAGAAUUGAGGGGGGCUGCUCCUAGUACGAGAGGACCGGAGUGGACGCAUCACUGGUGUUCGGGUUGUCAUGCCAAUGGCACUGCCCGGUAGCUAAAUGCGGAAGAGAUAAGUGCUGAAAGCAUCUAAGCACGAAACUUGCCCCGAGAUGAGUUCUCCCUGAGACUUUAAGUCUCCUGAAGGAACGUUAAAGACGAUGACGUUGAUAGGCCGGGUGUGUAAGCGCAGCGAUGCGUUGAGCUAACCGGUACUAAUGAACCGUGAGGCUUAACCUUACAACGCCGAAG
This 307-nucleotide ribosomal RNA is filed under the name Klebsiella pneumoniae. RNAcentral describes it as "partial 23S ribosomal RNA". It matches the Rfam family "Bacterial large subunit ribosomal RNA", at positions 2636 to 2925 of the family's 2925-position model. The record is from RNAcentral. Lineage: Bacteria; Pseudomonadati; Pseudomonadota; Gammaproteobacteria; Enterobacterales; Enterobacteriaceae.